Molecule: unclassified non-coding RNA, 378 nt
Filed under: uncultured Chlamydiales bacterium
Lineage: Bacteria; Pseudomonadati; Chlamydiota; Chlamydiia; Chlamydiales
Description: contains 16S-23S intergenic spacer region
Source: RNAcentral
UCCUGGUUAACCCAGGCAGUCUCGUUAGAGUUCCCAGCAUUACCUGAUGGCAACUAACGACAAGGGUUGCGCUCGUUGCGGGACUUAACCCAACACCUCACGGCACGAGCUGACGACAGCCAUGCAGCACCUGUGCAGCGGCCCCGAAGGGAGACUUAAUUUCUUAAGCUGUCCACUGCAUGUCAAGUCUGGGUAAGGUUCUUCGCGUUGCAUCGAAUUAAACCACAUGCUCCACUGCUUGUGCGGGUCCCCGUCAAUUCUUUUGAGUUUCACCCUUGCGAGCGUACUCCCCAGGCGGUGUACUUAACGCGUUAGCUACGGCACAGUCGGGGUUGAGUCCAACUACACCAAGUACACAUCGUUUACGGCUAGGACUAC